This is a long non-coding RNA of Zalophus californianus (California sea lion), 1465 nucleotides long. RefSeq lists it as uncharacterized. Lineage: Eukaryota; Metazoa; Chordata; Mammalia; Carnivora; Otariidae. The record is from RefSeq and is a predicted model, not a curated record. The transcript has 6 exons.
UCCUCUCAAAGGUCUCGCUUCUGUUUUUGAGGCUUAUUCCCCUCUUGAUCGAUUAGUGGUCUUCUGUUCACAGAGUUUCUUGCCUGUAGAGUAGCCAUUGGGUUAGUUAGUUAAUUAGUUAAUGAAUACACCGAAGGCUAGAAGAAGAAACUGUUCUCAUUUAGAAGACUGAAGGGGGUAAGAGGCAUGGUUUGUGUGUGGGAGCCGCCGACCGAGGAGGUCAAGCAGCUGUACAAGUGGGUAGAAAUGGUGCGGGAGACCAUUAUUUGCCACCGCCACAGAGGAGGUCUCCGGAGGAAAACGUCCCUUUUAGGCUGGCUGUAGCUGUGAUCCAUGCCUUCUUCGCUUUGGGGCCCGAGGCUGAAGAAGGAGCCCCACAUGGAACAUUGCUGAUCUUUCUGGCAUAGGAAACAAGAGAAGGAGAACAGAAGGUUUCAGAUAGAAGCUGCUGCUUAAGCCUUGGUCCUGGAAGGAAGAUGAUGUGGAACCCCAGAGCUCAAAGCAAGACAAAGACCCUGCCGAGUGAACCACUGUGGUUCUGGGAUGGUUUGGAGAGGCAGCAUGACUUAGUCUAAACAGAAUGAUACAGUUUUCAGAGCUUUCCAUUUCUUUUUCUAUUCCAGCUCUCUCUCAUGGUCAGUCUCUAAUGCCAUGAAGCUACAUGAAGAGCCACUGGUAUGUUGGAUUAGCGGAUGCUGCAGCAUUUGAUAUAGCGAUAAUGAUACCAAAAUGUCUUGCCUCCUAUCUUUUGGGCCAGAGACUCUUAAUCCAGAGAAGUAGGCUGCUGAAAGAAGUUGGAGGAACCAGAGAUUAAUAAUCAGAUGAACAGCUAUGAGCUACACGCUUUCUUUUUGAGCCAUGCCCAUCUGUUGCUGGGGGCGUCUUCUUCCUCUAAACAGGAAACAACGGAAGAUGAAAGGAGGUUUUCAAAAGCUUUAUUUUUAAUGCAGCAUCAUUAUGACAGAUUUUCAAAUACCGACUGGAAUAUUUUAAAAGCUAAACUGCCUAAGAAUGGGCCAAAAGAAAAGCCCUGUUGGAUUCUGAUACUUUUCUGAAAAGUUCGCCUGAAUGAAUAGGAAGUCAAACAGCUGGUGCUACAGGAUCCAGUAAAACCACACAAAAGCUGAGGGAAAUUAUGUUGUCUUCCUUUGAUUUAUGAUUUUGAAACAUCUUUUCAGGAGGAGAAAUCAAUCCCACAAAGCAUUGAAGUUCAGAAAUAAUUAGGCAUUUUGAAUUUUUGCAAAAGCCACAGAAAAGAGAUCCACAUUUACAUAAAAUGGCGCAGCAUGUAGAGAAAGCCUGGUUUCUGCAGAAAAUCCCUCCUACAGGAAAGCAUUCAAUUCCAAGUUGACUUCCAAUUGCUCCCCCACCCCCCACAUAAAAUGCACAAAAAAAUCUCUCGGAAUAUAUUGUGAGAUUUAGAUUUUUAUAUAUUCUUUUACCAUGUAUUUAAGAAAUCUGUCAC